RNAcentral lists this ribosomal RNA (163 nucleotides) under uncultured bacterium. Its description in RNAcentral is "partial 16S rRNA". It matches the Rfam family "Bacterial small subunit ribosomal RNA", at positions 355 to 511 of the family's 1533-position model. The record is from RNAcentral.
UAGGGAAUCUUCCACAAUGGACGCAAGUCUGAUGGAGCAACGCCGCGUGAGUGAAGAAGGUUUUCGGAUCGUAAAGCUCUGUUGUUGGUGAAGAAGGAUAGAGGUAGUAACUGGCCUUUAUUUGACGGUAAUCAACCAGAAGUCACGGCUAACUACGUGCCAG